Salvelinus sp. IW2-2015 is the source of this 377-nucleotide non-coding RNA. Lineage: Eukaryota; Metazoa; Chordata; Actinopteri; Salmoniformes; Salmonidae. The record is from the annotation of a RefSeq genome assembly.
AGAUGACAGGGAAACUACACCUCCUCCUGGUCUUGCUGGGCCUCUGUAAGGUGUAUGGUCAGAGUCUGGAGGCCAUUCCCUCCAGUCCAGUCCUGAAAAAGCCUGCAGAACCUCUCAGCCUCUCCUGUAAGGGAUCUGGCUUUACCUUUAGUGACUACCAUAUGGGCUGGAUACGUCAACCUGCAGGAAGAGCACUUGAAUGGAUAGGCAUUAUAUGGGAUGAUGCUAGUGGAACUGCAUACGCAAAAAGUGUUGAAGGACGUAUAGAAGUCACCAGAGAUAAUUCCAACAGCAUGGUGUAUCUGAAGCUGUCUGGUCUGAGAGCAGAGGACUCUGCUGUGUAUUACUGUGCAAGACAGACACAGUGGUGUGAGUGA